Molecule: long non-coding RNA, 631 nt
Organism: Acanthopagrus latus (yellowfin seabream)
Lineage: Eukaryota; Metazoa; Chordata; Actinopteri; Spariformes; Sparidae
Exons: 2
Source: RefSeq, a predicted model, not a curated record
UCCAGUCAGGUCCUGUUUUCUGUCCUCGCUGGCCCGGCUGUUAGUUCUGCUGGUUCUGUUGCUUCCUCAGCCGCUGCUGACGGGGUUAAAGUCCACACGUUAGAGAGAGGAGACUCCGUCACCCGCAACGUCAAGGUCACCACAGUGGAGAGGAAGUCGUGUGGGUCGAGCACCACUUGGCGAUGCCUAGGUCUGCUCAGUCAUCUCCUGGAUCCACACACUUAACAUACUUUAAAAUUUGUCUCAGAGCAAUGCAAUUUAAAUGCAAUUUGUAAACUGUGAUUUUGUUGCUCUUUUUUUGUACAUGUGACAUCUAUUGCCUGUCUGUCUGAGCUGGGAGAGGGAUCCGUCCUCUGUGGCACUUUCUGGGUUUCUUCCAUUUUCAAUUUUUCUCCCCUGUUAAACGUUUUUUUUUCCUCAAUGUGGCAAGUUUUUUCUUACUCGAAUCGGGGGUCUAAGGACAGAGGAUGUCGUCUCACUGUGCAGAUUGUAAAGCCCAUUGAGGCAAUGUGAUUGUGAUUUUGGGCUAUAUAAAUAGAACCGAUCUGCAAUUGAUUUGACAUUUACAUUGCAUACUGUAGAGCAUUCUAGAGCUUAGGCACAGUUUGAUGUGUUGCAAAGAGCUUUCAAA